RNAcentral lists this transfer RNA (72 nucleotides) under Sander vitreus (walleye). RNAcentral describes it as "tRNA-Val". It matches the Rfam family "tRNA". From Rfam's summary of the family: Transfer RNA (tRNA) molecules are approximately 80 nucleotides in length. Lineage: Eukaryota; Metazoa; Chordata; Actinopteri; Perciformes; Percidae. The record is from RNAcentral.
CAGAGCGUAGCUGAGACAGAAAAGCAUCUCUCUUACACUGAGAAGGCCCCCGUGCAAAUCGGGUCGCUCUGA